RNAcentral lists this ribosomal RNA (448 nucleotides) under uncultured bacterium. RNAcentral describes it as "bacterial SSU rRNA". It matches the Rfam family "Bacterial small subunit ribosomal RNA", at positions 954 to 1396 of the family's 1533-position model. The record is from RNAcentral.
GAUUAACGUGAAGAACCUUACCUGGGCUCGAAAUGUAGUCGACCGUCUCAGAGAUGAGGCUUUCCCGCAAGGGACGGCUGCAUAGGUGCUGCAUGGCUGUCGUCAGCUCGUGUCGUGAGAUGUUGGGUUAAGUCCCGCAACGAGCGCAACCCUCACCGUUAGUUGCUCGUCCCGAGCAAUCGGGAAAGCACCCUAACGGAACUGCCUCAGAUAAUGGGGAGGAAGGUGGGGAUGACGUCAAGUCCUCAUGGCCUUUAUGUCCAGGGCUACACACGUGCUACAAUGGCCGGUACAAAGCGUCGCAAACCCGUGAGGGGGAGCCAAUCGCAAAAAGCCGGUCCCAGUUCGGAUUGUAGGCUGCAACUCGACUUCAUGAAGCUGGAAUCGCUAGUAAUCGCGGAUCAGAACGCCGCGGUGAAUACGUUCCCGGGCCUGUACACACCGAAUC